This 1113-nucleotide long non-coding RNA is filed under the name Canis lupus familiaris (dog). RNAcentral's name for it is "lncRNA (ENSCAFG00000054140.1)". The record is from RNAcentral. Lineage: Eukaryota; Metazoa; Chordata; Mammalia; Carnivora; Canidae.
UGGACGCAGGCCUCCCUCUGCACAUUGCCAUUUGCUUCAUCAAAACUGGUAAGAGAGACAUUCUAUAAGCAACAUGAAGGCCGCCAUGUCUUGUACCUUGAUGCUGCACAGUAAAGAAUCUGUCUGGUCCUGACUCCUGUUCCUGGGAUAUAGCCUCUAAAUCCUGAGAAUUCCCUGAGCUGUCGGGUAGGAAUGUCUUGUUACUCAUGGCAGCCCCUCUACCAUGUCACAUUUCUGUUGAUGAGAUGACCCAGGGUGCACAGUUUAGAAGACCAACCACAUGAUGAGGGGUUGGGACUUUAGCUUGACCUCCUGUGGGGAAAACUUUGGAGAUGGAGCCUGGCCCACCAGUAGCUGAUGGUAAAGCAACCAUGCAGACGAGGAAAACUCCAGUAAGAACUCUGGAUGCUAAGCUCAGGUGAGUCCAUCUAUGUGUCCUGAUUCCACAGGGAGAAGAAGAGGGAAGUCUGUAUUAGUGAUCCUCUCCAGCUUUGCCCUGUCCUAAUUUGUAUGCAUCACAAUAAAGCAGUAACUGGUCGACAUGAUGAGUAGCUUUCUAAGACGCUGUGCUGGUGGGUUUAUGAAGUCACCACACCAUUCCCUUAAGGCUGGGGCACAGGGCUGGGUGUGGAUGUGGCUGCAUGGCACCCAGUUGGGCGUCUGCAGGUCCCGCGUGGAGGUUGGUGUCUAUGGUGCCAGAUGAGCAGUAAACCUCCUGCCUUGGUGGUUCCUCACUGACGUCACACACUGAUGGCUUGUUCAUCAUGUGAGCCGAGGAUCUCUUCCUGAGCGUGGAGAGCCCAGAUGGAAGGCAUCCCCUGGAUUUAGGGACUAUUCCUGACCGUGUGGAGAUGAACAUUCCAGGCCUGCUCUGAGGUGCCCUUGCUUCUGCGCUGCAGGAGCCUGUGAGCUGGUUCUUCUGACUGGUCCCAUGUGGGCUCUGAUGUGCUCACGUCUGCCCGGCAUCCUCACCGUCCACACCCGGGUAUCUGCCUUCUCGUACCCAGUUCUGUCCGACCUCUGGAGAUCCGAGUCUGCCCUGGAGUUGUUCUCUAGUGAUUGGUGCCCCCAAACCAGCUGCUGCUACCUGAAUAUCGCAGGUUGGGCUGCACU